ACCCCGGUGUCCCAAUCGGCAGAGGAGGGCGCCUUAAAAGCGCCUAGUUGCGGGUUCGAGUCCCGCCCGGGGUA
This 74-nucleotide transfer RNA is filed under the name Nocardioides baekrokdamisoli. It matches the Rfam family "tRNA". From Rfam's summary of the family: Transfer RNA (tRNA) molecules are approximately 80 nucleotides in length. Their secondary structure includes four short double-helical elements and three loops (D, anti-codon, and T loops). The record is from Rfam by way of RNAcentral. Lineage: Bacteria; Bacillati; Actinomycetota; Actinomycetes; Propionibacteriales; Nocardioidaceae.